Molecule: ribosomal RNA, 264 nt
Filed under: uncultured archaeon
Lineage: Archaea
Description: partial 16S ribosomal RNA
Rfam family: Archaeal small subunit ribosomal RNA
Source: RNAcentral
AGACGUCUACAUUAGAUACCCGGGUAGUCCCAGCCGUAAACUAUGCGCGUUAGGUGUAUCGGUGACCACGAGUUACCGAGGUGCCGAAGGGAAACCGUGAAACGUGCCGCCUGGGAAGUACGGUCGCAAGGCUGAAACUUAAAGGAAUUGGCGGGGGAGCACAACAACGGGUGGAGCCUGCGGUUUAAUUGGACUCAACGCCGGACAACUCACCGGGACGACAGCAAUAUGUAGGCCAGGCUGAAGACCUUGCCUGAAUCGCUG